Molecule: long non-coding RNA, 358 nt
Filed under: Cyclopterus lumpus (lumpfish)
Lineage: Eukaryota; Metazoa; Chordata; Actinopteri; Perciformes; Cyclopteridae
Description: lncRNA (ENSCLMG00005003613.1)
Source: RNAcentral
GGAGGAGGGGGUGCCGCCGCCGCCGCCGCCGCCGCUCGUCCGUCAGCUCCAACAGUUUGCUAUCACCCCGCUUACCUGUGUGGGCCUGAUGUAAAGCGGGUUGUCGACUCCUCUGCCAUGAAGGAAAUCCACUGCAUCGUCAUGACGAUGGACCGAAGGUAACCCAGAGUAAUUCACGCCGACAGUCCGGCUGAUGACCAGCUACUUGUUCCUGAAUCAAAGAUGCAUGCUCAUCCCUCUGACCGCCACUGAGCCGAUCCAACCCUCCAGCAGACCCCAUCUCCACUCCCACUGAACUCCACUGUACUCUAGUCUUCUCUACUUCAGGCGUUAUCCUCUCUGAGCCUCUGGUGAUCGG